AAAAAUGCACCCUCAUCUACCCAAUUCUGCCCUACCCUUUGGAGCUCCUGGACCCUCUAACCGCUCGGUGGGGUCAGAGCCCACCCCCGGAAGGGCCGCUGGUCGGGGACUGGUUCGCCCUCUCCUGGCCUCCUCGGACCAGUGCGCGGGGAGGAUCCCGCUAACGCCGGGCGCCUGCAGACCUUGAGCGGCCUCGCCCUGGUGACCUCCCCGGGAAAGGCUGGGCGGUGCUUCCACAAUGAGGGCCACCUGUUAAUUUGCACGAGAAAGUGCUGCCGAGGGCCCACACGUGCGAAUCCACCUGUGGAGUGCGUCCCCUCUCUGGGGCCAAGGCCUAGGGGAGGCCGAAGCGGAGAAGUUGCCUGAAGACUGGGAAGUAAGAGUAGGGGCGUCGGAGGAAUCGAAGUUGCAGUGACAUCAGGCUCGGACAGCCGGCGGACUCCUCGCAAGGCCUCAAACUUCUUCAUGGGAAAAGAUGGCUUCUCUUUUUUAAUUGAAUGAACUAGAAGAAGUUCAUUGUUAUUCAUCAACUUCAAAGAGACUAUAUGAGGCCCCUUGGCCAGGACUACAGAGCAGUAUUUUUUAAUCAGAAAUUAUAGCCAAAAAGAAGAGACCAGAACACAUGGCAGCCUGCAUGGACUAAGACAAGCUCAUUUUCUGGAAAGUCUUGAACUAAGUACUUGAAAAUACAAAGAUAAAUG
Molecule: long non-coding RNA, 701 nt
Filed under: Homo sapiens (human)
Lineage: Eukaryota; Metazoa; Chordata; Mammalia; Primates; Hominidae
Description: non-protein coding lnc-ENDOD1-1:2
Source: RNAcentral